Molecule: long non-coding RNA, 404 nt
Organism: Hipposideros armiger (great roundleaf bat)
Lineage: Eukaryota; Metazoa; Chordata; Mammalia; Chiroptera; Hipposideridae
Exons: 3
Source: RefSeq, a predicted model, not a curated record
UCAUGAAGUCCCAGAAUUGGAGCUGGAUGGUGCAGCUGGAAAUGGAACAGGGAGAAUUGAGAACACAGUUGAGGUGGCAGGGAGUAGAGCUGUGAGAGGCCAUAGUGUUCCAUCAAAAGUGUGGUGCUUUGCUGCUUUCGUCUUGCUGAUGCUGAAUUUGGUAGUGCUGGCUGGACUGGGAACCCUGAUCUUAAUGAAUUACCAGCAACUCUUCUUCAGCAACAGGACAGCACAUGACGGGGAGCGAAGCAUAAUAGAACGGUGGGAGAGAAAUAUACCAUUAUUCAUGGAUAUAUGUAAAAAUCUCUCAAGUGAGCACAUCAUUUUAAAAAAAAGGUUAGAAACAAUGUUAGAAGCGUUGAACAACUUUCCCUCAAAAGACUGUGAAGAUUUAAAGCAGAAGA